RNAcentral lists this non-coding RNA (121 nucleotides) under Monosporascus sp. 5C6A. RNAcentral's name for it is "Betaproteobacteria-1 RNA". It matches the Rfam family "Betaproteobacteria-1 RNA". Lineage: Eukaryota; Fungi; Ascomycota; Sordariomycetes; Xylariales. The record is from Rfam by way of RNAcentral. RNAcentral also lists the same sequence under 1 other name.
CGCAGGCGUGGGCGGGAUACCUACCACCAGCGCGCCUGGGAAAAACGGAUGCUGUGGGGGUAAGGUUGAGAAAUCCGGUGCGGUGGCGAAGACAGAGCCGCAACCUGUUUGUCUGUCGGGC